Molecule: long non-coding RNA, 592 nt
Filed under: Homo sapiens (human)
Lineage: Eukaryota; Metazoa; Chordata; Mammalia; Primates; Hominidae
Description: non-protein coding lnc-PPP1R2B-3:1
Source: RNAcentral
AUGUUCAAGGUGGUUUAGAGGUCCAUGGGGCUGACCAGCCUGAGCCUACUCACCUUCAAAGUCUAUGCAGCACCAAAAAAGGACUUCCCUCCCCAAAAUCCCAUGAAGGUUUAUGAGUUUUACUCUACUAAGUUCUCGAGGGCUAAUCUAAACAUGCAGAUGAGUCAAGGACCCAGCUUAGGAAAGCAUCUCUCAGCUUUGACAUUAUCAAGAGCUAUAUAAAAGUUGGUGUCAGGAAAGGUACUCCUAAAUGAAGCCAAAGAUGUAAAGUUUGGUUCAAUGGGGGUGAGACAGCUAUGAAUAUCUCCAAAAUGCACCUGCUGGAUUUUUUCCAGGACUGGGUGUUAUUGGUUUUGCUGGCCUUGUUGGACUUGUUUUGGCUAGAGGUUCAAAAAUAAAGAAGCAGGCAUUUCUACCCAGUUUCAUAGGAUUAGCAGCCUCUAUCCAUUAUCCACAGCAAGCCAUCGAGUUUGUGCAGGUCAGAAAGGAGAUAUUAUAUGACCAGGGUUUAUGAGGAUACAUAGUCGUGGAAGAUUUUUGGAAGGAGAACUUUCUAAAGCCAGGAAAUGUGAGGAAUUCAUCUGAAAAUAAA